Molecule: ribosomal RNA, 1243 nt
Filed under: metagenome
Description: bacterial LSU rRNA
Rfam family: Bacterial large subunit ribosomal RNA
Source: RNAcentral
UGAGUACGAGAGGCUACGGCCUCGAAGCAGUCUAUGUCAUACUUCCAAGAAAAGCUUGCAAUGUCAUAAACAAAUAAUGCCUGUACCAUAACCGACACAGGUGGGUAGGUAGAGUAUACUAAGGGGCGCGAGAUAACUCUCUCUAAGGAACUCGGCAAAAUGACUCCGUAACUUCGGGAGAAGGAGUGCCUUAUUUAUAAGGUUGCAAUAACAAGAUCCAAGCAACUGUUUACCAAAAACACAGGUCUCCGCUAAGUCGUAAGACGAUGUAUGGGGGCUGACGCCUGCCCAGUGCCAGAAGGUUAAAGAAGUUGGUUAGCAUUAGCGAAGCUGAUAACUGAAGCCCUGGUGAACGGCGGCCGUAACUAUAACGGUCCUAAGGUAGCGAAAUUCCUUGUCGGGUAAGUUCCGACCCGCACGAAAGGCGUAAUGAUUUGGAUACUGUCUCGGAGAGAGGCUCGGUGAAAUAGACUUGUCUGUGAAGAUGCGGACUACCUGCACCUGGACAGAAAGACCCUAUGAAGCUUUACUGUAACUUGAAAUUGAAAUUGGACUUUAUUUGCGCAGUAUAGGUGGGAGGCGUUGAGAGUAUUCUUGCGGGAAUAUUGGAGCCAUCAGUGAGAUACCACUCUUGUAAUGUUAGAUUUCUAACUUUGGAUCAUUAUCUGGUCAAAGGACAGUUUCAGGCGGGCAGUUUGACUGGGGCGGUCGCCUCCCAAACGGUAACGGAGGCGUACAAAGGUUUCCUCUGAACGGGUAGAAAUCGUAUCUAGAGUGUAAAGGCAUAAGGAAGCUUGACUGUGAGACCUACAAGUCGAGCAGGGACGAAAGUCGGUCUUAGUGAUCUGACGGUGCUGAGUGGAAAGGCCGUCACUCAACGGAUAAAAGUUACUCUAAGGAUAACGCCUGAUCUCCCCCAAGAGUUCACAUCGACGGGGAGGUUUGGCACCUCGAUGUCGGCUCAUCGCAUCCUGGGGCGGUAGUACGUCCCAAGGGUUGGGCCGUUCGCCCAUGAAAGCGGUACGCGAGCUGGGUUCAGAACGUCGUGAGACAGUUCGGUCCAUAUCCGGUGUAGGCGUUAGAAUAUUGAGAGGAGCCUUCUUUAGUACGAGAGGACCGAGAAGGACAUACCUCUGGUGUACCAGUUAUCGUGCCAACGGUAAACGCUGGGUAGCUAUGUAUGGAGAGGAUAACCGCUGAAAGCAUCUAAGUGGGAAGCCCACCUCAAGAUAAGUAUUCUCAU